RNAcentral lists this ribosomal RNA (443 nucleotides) under uncultured bacterium. RNAcentral's name for it is "partial 16S ribosomal RNA". It matches the Rfam family "Bacterial small subunit ribosomal RNA", at positions 338 to 795 of the family's 1533-position model. The record is from RNAcentral.
CCUACGGGUGGCAGCAGUGGGGAAUAUUGGGCAAUGGGCGAAAGUCUGACCCAGCAAUGCCGCGUGAAGGAAGAAGGGUUUCGGCUCGUAAACUUCUAUAAACAGGGAAGAAAAAAAUGACGGUACCUGAAGAAUAAGCCCCGGCUAACUACGUGCCAGCAGCUGCGGUAAUCGGUGGGGGGCAAGCGUUAUCCGGAUUAACGGGGUUUAAAGGGUGGGUAGGCGGCAUUAUAAGCAAGAGGUGAAAGCCUUGGGCUUAACCCGGGGAUUGCAUGGGAAACUGUUAGGCUUGAGUGCAGUAGAGGAAGGCGGAAUUCCUAGUGUAGCGGUGAAAUGCGUAGAUAUUAGGAAGAACACCAGAGGCGAAGGUGGCUUUCUGGACUGAAACUGACGCUGAGGCACGAAAGUGUGGGGAGCGAACAGGAUUAGAUACCCGAGUAGUC